UCUGCAAUAGGCGAAAGCUUGACAGGGUUACUCUGAGUGAUUUCCGUUAAGGAGAUCUUUUGGCACCUCUAAAAAUGGUGCAGAAUAAGGGGUGGGCAAGUCUGGUGUCAGCCGCCGCGGUAAUACCAGCACCCCGAGUGGUCGGGACGUUUAUUGGGCCUAAAGCAUCCGUAGCCGGUUCUACAAGUCUUCCGUUAAAUCCACCUGCUUAACAGAUGGGCUGCGGAAGAUACUAUAGAGCUAGGAGGCGGGAGAGGCAAGCGGUACUCGAUGGGUAGGGGUAAAAUCCGUUGAUCCAUUGAAGACCACCAGUGGCGAAGGCGGCUUGCCAGAACGCGCUCGACGGUGAGGGAUGAAAGCUGGGGGAGCAAACCGGAUUAGAUACCCGGGUAGUCCCAGCUGUAAACGAUGCAGACUCGGUGAUGAGUUGGCUUAUUGCCAACUCAGUGCCGCAGGGAAGCCGUUAAGUUUGCCGCCUGGGGAGUACGGUCGCAAGACUGAAACUUAAA
This 509-nucleotide ribosomal RNA is filed under the name uncultured Nitrososphaerota archaeon. RNAcentral's name for it is "bacterial SSU rRNA". It matches the Rfam family "Archaeal small subunit ribosomal RNA", at positions 349 to 860 of the family's 1478-position model. The record is from RNAcentral. Lineage: Archaea; Thermoproteati; Nitrososphaerota.